GUUUUUGGCAGCUAGAGGAAGAAGAGAGAGCAGCUAGUACACUAGUACAGCUAGCAGAGCAAAACCAGCAAAGGCGCGCGAUCAGGCCAGAAGAGAAUAAUGGAGAAGAUGAACGUGGUUGCGAGCAGGAAGCAGGGCGGCGACUGGAUCUGCCGGUCGUGCCAGUACGUGAACUUCUGCAAGCGCGACGCGUGCCAGCGCUGCGGCGAGGCGAGGCUGGGCGUGGAGCGGACGGACUACGGCGCGCUGGGCGGCGACUGGGACGUGAAGCCCGGCGACUGGUACUGCUACCGCUGCGGCGUGAACAACUACGCCUCCCGCGCCGGCUGCUUCAAGUGCGGCGCCGCCAAGAACGAGUCUCCGCCGGCCGCCGUCGCCCAGGGCUGGGGCUACACCGCCGCCGGCCAGGCCGGAAUGAAGCCCGGCGACUGGAUCUGCCCAAGACUGGGCUGCAACGUGCAGAACUACGCCAACCGAACCGAGUGCUUCCGGUGCAGCAUGCCCAAAUCAUACUACGGUUGAUGGGGGCAACUGCACGCGCGUACACUGAUCGAUGAGAAAAAAAAACAGAAGGAAAAAACAAUAAUAUAUAGUAAUAAUAAGUAUUAUUGUACGAGAUCGAAGAGCUAGAGACAGCACAAUUAACUGCAUUUUCCUUUCCUUUUUUUUUUCUUUUGAAU
RNAcentral lists this unclassified non-coding RNA (680 nucleotides) under Zea mays. RNAcentral describes it as "misc RNA Zm00001eb162540". The record is from RNAcentral. Lineage: Eukaryota; Viridiplantae; Streptophyta; Magnoliopsida; Poales; Poaceae.